This 468-nucleotide ribosomal RNA is filed under the name uncultured bacterium. RNAcentral's name for it is "partial 16S ribosomal RNA". It matches the Rfam family "Bacterial small subunit ribosomal RNA", at positions 28 to 507 of the family's 1533-position model. The record is from RNAcentral.
GACGAACGCUGGCGGCGUGCUUAACACAUGCAAGUCGAACGGAAAGGCCCUGCUUUUGUGGGGUGCUCGAGUGGCGAACGGGUGAGUAACACGUGAGUAACCUGCCCUUGACUUUGGGAUAACUUCAGGAAACUGGGGCUAAUACCGGAUAGGAGCUCCUGCUGCAUGGUGGGGGUUGGAAAGUUUCGGCGGUUGGGGAUGGACUCGCGGCUUAUCAGCUUGUUGGUGGGGUAGUGGCUUACUAAGGCUUUGACGGGUAGCCGGCCUGAGAGGGUGACCGGCCACAAUGGGACUGAGAUACGGCCCAGACUCCUACGGGAGGCAGCAGUGGGGAAUAUUGCACAAUGGGCGGAAGCCUGAUGCAGCAACGCCGCGUGCGGGAUGACGGCCUUCGGGUUGUAAACCGCUUUCGCCUGUGACGAAGCGUGAGUGACGGUAAUGGGUAAAGAAGCACCGGCUAACUACGUG